Molecule: ribosomal RNA, 2934 nt
Filed under: Yersinia pseudotuberculosis
Lineage: Bacteria; Pseudomonadati; Pseudomonadota; Gammaproteobacteria; Enterobacterales; Yersiniaceae
Description: 23S ribosomal RNA
Rfam family: Bacterial large subunit ribosomal RNA
Source: RNAcentral
GGGUUGUGAGGUUAAGCGACUAAGCGUACACGGUGGAUGCCUAGGCAGUCAGAGGCGAUGAAGGGCGUGCUAAUCUGCGAAAAGCGUCGGUAAGCUGAUAUGAAGCGUUAUAACCGACGAUACCCGAAUGGGGAAACCCAGUGCAAUACGUUGCACUAUCGUUAGAUGAAUACAUAGUCUAACGAGGCGAACCGGGGGAACUGAAACAUCUAAGUACCCCGAGGAAAAGAAAUCAACCGAGAUUCCCCCAGUAGCGGCGAGCGAACGGGGAGGAGCCCAGAGUCUGAAUCAGUUUGUGUGUUAGUGGAAGCGUCUGGAAAGUCGCACGGUACAGGGUGAUAGUCCCGUACACCAAAAUGCACAGGCUGUGAACUCGAUGAGUAGGGCGGGACACGUGACAUCCUGUCUGAAUAUGGGGGGACCAUCCUCCAAGGCUAAAUACUCCUGACUGACCGAUAGUGAACCAGUACCGUGAGGGAAAGGCGAAAAGAACCCCGGCGAGGGGAGUGAAAUAGAACCUGAAACCGUGUACGUACAAGCAGUGGGAGCACCUUCGUGGUGUGACUGCGUACCUUUUGUAUAAUGGGUCAGCGACUUAUAUUUUGUAGCAAGGUUAACCGAAUAGGGGAGCCGUAGGGAAACCGAGUCUUAACUGGGCGUCUAGUUGCAAGGUAUAGACCCGAAACCCGGUGAUCUAGCCAUGGGCAGGUUGAAGGUUGGGUAACACUAACUGGAGGACCGAACCGACUAAUGUUGAAAAAUUAGCGGAUGACUUGUGGCUGGGGGUGAAAGGCCAAUCAAACCGGGAGAUAGCUGGUUCUCCCCGAAAGCUAUUUAGGUAGCGCCUCGUGAACUCAUCUUCGGGGGUAGAGCACUGUUUCGGCUAGGGGGCCAUCCCGGCUUACCAAACCGAUGCAAACUCCGAAUACCGAAGAAUGUUAUCACGGGAGACACACGGCGGGUGCUAACGUCCGUCGUGAAGAGGGAAACAACCCAGACCGCCAGCUAAGGUCCCAAAGUCAUGGUUAAGUGGGAAACGAUGUGGGAAGGCACAGACAGCCAGGAUGUUGGCUUAGAAGCAGCCAUCAUUUAAAGAAAGCGUAAUAGCUCACUGGUCGAGUCGGCCUGCGCGGAAGAUGUAACGGGGCUAAACCAUGCACCGAAGCUGCGGCAGCGACACUUAGGUGUUGUUGGGUAGGGGAGCGUUCUGUAAGCCGUUGAAGGUGACCUGUGAGGGUUGCUGGAGGUAUCAGAAGUGCGAAUGCUGACAUAAGUAACGAUAAUGCGGGUGAAAAACCCGCACGCCGGAAGACCAAGGGUUCCUGUCCAACGUUAAUCGGGGCAGGGUGAGUCGACCCCUAAGGCGAGGCUGAAAAGCGUAGUCGAUGGGAAACAGGUUAAUAUUCCUGUACUUGGUGUUACUGCGAAGGGGGGACGGAGAAGGCUAGGCUGGCCGGGCGACGGUUGUCCCGGUUUAAGCGUGUAGGGGGAGUGACCAGGUAAAUCCGGUUGCUUAUCAACCCUGAGGCGUGAUGACGAUGCACUACGGUGCAGAAGCAGUUGAUGCCAUGCUUCCAGGAAAAGCCUCUAAGCAUCAGGUAACAUUAAAUCGUACCCCAAACCGACACAGGUGGUCAGGUAGAGAAUACUCAGGCGCUUGAGAGAACUCGGGUGAAGGAACUAGGCAAAAUGGUGCCGUAACUUCGGGAGAAGGCACGCUGGCGUUAGGUGAAAGGACUAGCUCCUGGAGCUGAAGCCAGUCGCAGAUACCAGCUGGCUGCAACUGUUUAAUAAAAACACAGCACUGUGCAAACACGAAAGUGGACGUAUACGGUGUGACGCCUGCCCGGUGCUGGAAGGUUAAUUGAUGGGGUCAGCCGCAAGGCGAAGCUCUUGAUCGAAGCCCCAGUAAACGGCGGCCGUAACUAUAACGGUCCUAAGGUAGCGAAAUUCCUUGUCGGGUAAGUUCCGACCUGCACGAAUGGCGUAAUGAUGGCCAGGCUGUCUCCACCCGAGACUCAGUGAAAUUGAACUCGCUGUGAAGAUGCAGUGUACCCGCGGCAAGACGGAAAGACCCCGUGAACCUUUACUAUAGCUUGACACUGAACAUUGAGCCUUGAUGUGUAGGAUAGGUGGGAGGCCUUGAAGUGUGGACGCCAGUCUGCAUGGAGCCAACCUUGAAAUACCACCCUUUAAUGUUUGAUGUUCUAACUCGGCCCCAUGAUCUGGGGUGAGGACAGUGUCUGGUGGGUAGUUUGACUGGGGCGGUCUCCUCCCAAAGAGUAACGGAGGAGCACGAAGGUUAGCUAAUCACGGUCGGACAUCGUGAGGUUAGUGCAAAGGCAUAAGCUAGCUUGACUGCGAGAGUGACGGCUCGAGCAGGUACGAAAGUAGGUCUUAGUGAUCCGGUGGUUCUGAAUGGAAGGGCCAUCGCUCAACGGAUAAAAGGUACUCCGGGGAUAACAGGCUGAUACCGCCCAAGAGUUCAUAUCGACGGCGGUGUUUGGCACCUCGAUGUCGGCUCAUCACAUCCUGGGGCUGAAGUAGGUCCCAAGGGUAUGGCUGUUCGCCAUUUAAAGUGGUACGCGAGCUGGGUUUAGAACGUCGUGAGACAGUUCGGUCCCUAUCUGCCGUGGGCGUUGGAAGAUUGAGAGGGGCUGCUCCUAGUACGAGAGGACCGGAGUGGACGAAUCACUGGUGUUCGGGUUGUCAUGCCAAUGGCAUUGCCCGGUAGCUAAAUUCGGAAGAGAUAACCGCUGAAAGCAUCUAAGCGGGAAACUUGCCUCGAGAUGAGUCUUCCCUGGGGCUUUAAGCCCCCUGAAGGAACGUUAAAGACUAUGACGUUGAUAGGCUGGGUGUGUAAGUGCAGCGAUGUAUUGAGCUAACCAGUACUAAUGAUCCGUGAGGCUUAACCUUACAACACCGAAGGUGUUU